AUACGGGGGGGGCAAGCGUUGUUCGGAAUUACUGGGCGUAAAGGGCUCGUAGGCGGCCAACUAAGUCAGACGUGAAAUCCCCAGGCUCAACCUGGGAACUGCGUCUGAUACUGAUUGGCUUGAAUCCGGGAGAGGGAUGCAGAAUUCCAGGUGUAGCGGUGAAAUGCGUAGAUAUCUGGAGGAAUACCGGUGGCGAAGGCGGCAUCCUGGACCGGCAUUGACGCUGAGGAGCGAAAGCCAGGGGAGCAAACGG
RNAcentral lists this ribosomal RNA (253 nucleotides) under uncultured prokaryote. Its description in RNAcentral is "partial 16S ribosomal RNA". It matches the Rfam family "Bacterial small subunit ribosomal RNA", at positions 523 to 775 of the family's 1533-position model. The record is from RNAcentral.